Molecule: small nuclear RNA, 164 nt
Organism: Gopherus flavomarginatus (Mexican gopher tortoise)
Lineage: Eukaryota; Metazoa; Chordata; Testudines; Testudinidae
Product: U1 spliceosomal RNA
Exons: 1
Source: RefSeq, a predicted model, not a curated record
AGACUUACUUGGCAGGGGAAAUACCAUGAUCAUGGAGGUGGUGUGCCAAGGGUGAGGUUCAUCUAUUACACUGUGGGUGUGCUGACUCCUGUGAUUUCCCCAAAUGUAGGAAACUCGACAGCAUAAUUUGUGGUAGUGGGGGACUGUGUCCACGCUCUCCCCUC